UCAAUAUGAGAGUUUGAUCCUGGCUCAGAACGAACGCUGGCGGCAUGCCUAACACAUGCAAGUCGAUCGCCCCGCAAGGGGAGAGGCGAACGGGUGAGUAAUACAUAGGAAUCUGCCUAACACUGGGGGAUAACUACUGGAAACAGUAGCUAAUACCGCAUACGCCAUAUUGGGAAAGCUACGGCGGUGAUGGAUGAGCCUAUGUCUGAUUAGCUAGUUGGUAGGGUAAUGGCCUACCAAGGCAACGAUCAGUAGCUGGUCUGAGAGGAUGAUCAGUCACACUGGAACUGAGACACGGUCCAGACUCCUACGGGAGGCAGCAGUGGGGAAUAUUGCGCAAUGGGCGAAAGCCUGACGCAGCAAUGCCGCGUGAGUGAUGACGGCCUUCGGGUUGUAAAGCUCUUUUGUCAGGGAAGAUAAUGACGGUACCUGAAGAAAAAGUCCCGGCUAACUCCGUGCCAGCAGCCGCGGUAAUACGGAGGGGGCAAGCGUUGUUCGGAUUUACUGGGCGUAAAGCGAUCGCAGGCUGCUAAUCAAGUCAGGUGUGAAAGCCCUGGGCUCAACCCGGGAAUUGCACUUGAAACUGGUUGGCUAGAGUCAUGGAGAGGUAAGUGGAAUUACCAGUGUAGAGGUGAAAUUCGUAGAUAUUGGUAGGAACACCAGAGGCGAAGGCGACUUACUGGCCAUGUACUGACGCUAAGGAUCGAAAGCGUGGGGAGCAAACAGGAUUAGAUACCCUGGUAGUCCACGCCGUAAACGAUGAGUGCUAGCUGUCGGGCCCUUGAGGCUCGGUGGCGUAGUUAACGCGUUAAGCACUCCGCCUGGGGAGUACGGCCGCAAGGUUAAAACUCAAAGGAAUUGACGGGGGCCCGCACAAGCGGUGGAGCAUGUUGUUUAAUUCGAAGCAACGCGAAGAACCUUACCUGGGCUUGUAUCCCGGUC
Molecule: ribosomal RNA, 942 nt
Filed under: Pseudomonadota bacterium
Lineage: Bacteria; Pseudomonadati; Pseudomonadota
Description: bacterial SSU rRNA
Rfam family: Bacterial small subunit ribosomal RNA
Source: RNAcentral